RNAcentral lists this ribosomal RNA (735 nucleotides) under Bacillus sp. 9Q. RNAcentral describes it as "bacterial SSU rRNA". It matches the Rfam family "Bacterial small subunit ribosomal RNA", at positions 54 to 773 of the family's 1533-position model. Lineage: Bacteria; Bacillati; Bacillota; Bacilli; Caryophanales; Bacillaceae. The record is from RNAcentral.
CAUGCAGUCGAGCGGACAGAAGGGAGCUUGCUCCCGGAUGUUAGCGGCGGACGGGUGAGUAACACGUGGGUAACCUGCCUGUAAGACUGGGAUAACUCCGGGAAACCGGAGCUAAUACCGGAUAGUUCCUUGAACCGCAUGGUUCAAGGAUGAAAGACGGUUUCGGCUGUCACUUACAGAUGGACCCGCGGCGCAUUAGCUAGUUGGUGAGGUAACGGCUCACCAAGGCGACGAUGCGUAGCCGACCUGAGAGGGUGAUCGGCCACACUGGGACUGAGACACGGCCCAGACUCCUACGGGAGGCAGCAGUAGGGAAUCUUCCGCAAUGGACGAAAGUCUGACGGAGCAACGCCGCGUGAGUGAUGAAGGUUUUCGGAUCGUAAAGCUCUGUUGUUAGGGAAGAACAAGUGCAAGAGUAACUGCUUGCACCUUGACGGUACCUAACCAGAAAGCCACGGCUAACUACGUGCCAGCAGCCGCGGUAAUACGUAGGUGGCAAGCGUUGUCCGGAAUUAUUGGGCGUAAAGGGCUCGCAGGCGGUUUCUUAAGUCUGAUGUGAAAGCCCCCGGCUCAACCGGGGAGGGUCAUUGGAAACUGGGAAACUUGAGUGCAGAAGAGGAGAGUGGAAUUCCACGUGUAGCGGUGAAAUGCGUAGAGAUGUGGAGGAACACCAGUGGCGAAGGCGACUCUCUGGUCUGUAACUGACGCUGAGGAGCGAAAGCGUGGGGAGCGAAC